This 1403-nucleotide long non-coding RNA is filed under the name Pogona vitticeps (central bearded dragon). RNAcentral's name for it is "lncRNA (ENSPVIG00000007337.1)". The record is from RNAcentral. Lineage: Eukaryota; Metazoa; Chordata; Lepidosauria; Squamata; Agamidae.
AUGGCUGUCUUCAGCUUGCCGGCCGCUGCCACUCCCCCCCCCCAUCCGCCACUGGGUUCUCGUCGAUGUGCUAGAAUGUUCCACCGCCGCAUGCACAGGCUGUUGGAAAUCGAAGAUGCAAAACGGCCAGACUCGUCACCGUCUCGUUUUAUUCCUGGUUCCUUGGACACCCAGCACAACGGGAGGCAAUGUUUGACUCCCAGCAAAUCAAAUCGAACCGGAUCGAAUCAAAUCCAGGCCCCUUCCCCUUUCACCCUGGUCUUAAUACUGAAAAUUGAAGUAUUUCCUCCACAUUUAAUUUCAUGUUCUCCGGAAGGGACGACCCACCGCCCCUAGUAGGGAGGAUAUGGUUAUCCGUCUCCGCUUGGAUUUUGCCGGUGGGAAACUUUAGCCUGUCAAAAACCAGCCCGCCUCAUUGUGUUCUGGAAUGUGUUGAUUGACAGCCGCUGGUCCGGUUUAUACAUCUUUUAUGAACCAGAUCAUCUUUCUGAGCUCUUGGGAACUCGACUUCAUUUGAGCCCCAGCGGGGGUUCAUCAGGGACCUCCUGGGGUCGGAAGCUUGCUUGUCGCGAUGGUUCAGCCUUAGAACGCACCACGUUGGGGCCGAGAAAGAGUUACUCUGAGCCUGUGCAGAGUUCCUUCUACCACGGUGGCAGAACCGACAUGAUCAUGAAGAGAAAGGGGAAGCGAUCAAGGGGGAAGGCUUGCAGUUGAGGCAGAGGUGGAAAACCAGGCCUCUUGUUGGAGUUUUGUCUCGCGUGUUUGUGUACGGGCUUCAUUUCUAUCCUCAUUAUAACACAGAUGGUACCGUUUCAGCUGCAUAUGCACUGACACUAUGAGAAGGGAAUUCUCUUUCACCCUCUAUACGGGAGAUGACGGAAUCCGCAUCCCACCGAUAAUUCUUCAAGAUACUUUCCCCCCAAAUGCAGCACAAUAACAGGGAUGUUUCCAAGUCUUUGGUUUUGAGAUCCGAGUUCAAGUUUUUGGUACUGAAUCCCAAGUCCAAAUCCCUACUAAAACCAAUCUUCCCCCCCCACACACACACACACUAACAAAGGGAAGGGUGGAUGGGUUCCGAGUCACUGAAAAAAAAUCUGCGUGUCGAGUCUGAGUCGAGUCUCCAAGGCGACUUCAGCGAGUCUCGCACUUCGAGUCCCCAUUGCGGGCAGUAAUAAUCUAUUUGUUGAAUGGGAAGAUUGCACAGAACUCAGAUGAGGUCAAAGCUGGACAUCAGUGGCAGAGGACAGAGGAAGGGGGCAGGCGAGGCAAUUCGCCCGGAGCUUCUGAUGUGAUGCCCAGAAAUAUGGAAUUCCUACCAGGCAGAAGGGCAUCAUCUCUUACUCUCGGCAGACCUUCUCGGUUCUUCUGAGCUCAGACACAAUUCUAAUUAAUAAAAGGGGGGA